RNAcentral lists this unclassified non-coding RNA (240 nucleotides) under soil metagenome. Its description in RNAcentral is "partial contains 5.8S ribosomal RNA, internal transcribed spacer 2, and large subunit ribosomal RNA". The record is from RNAcentral.
AAGACUAUAGACCUGCGGAGUACCUGCGGCGGGAUCAUUACCGAGUUAGGGUUCCUCUCACGGGCCCGACCUCCCAACCCUGUGUCUAUCACACCUUGUCGUUGCUUCGGCGGACCGGUUUGACUCCGGUCGCGACCGCCGGGGGUGCUUCACCCCGGGAGAGCGUCCGCCGAUGGCCCAACCACAAAACUUCUUUGUACCAAAACCGGUCGUCUAAAUCAAACUUGAUCAUAAUCAAAA